CGGGACACGUGGUAUCCUGUCUGAAUAUGGGGGGACCAUCCUCCAAGGCUAAAUACUCCUGACUGACCGAUAGUGAACCAGUACCGUGAGGGAAAGGCGAAAAGAACCCCGGCGAGGGGAGUGAAAAAGAACCUGAAACCGUGUACGUACAAGCAGUGGGAGCACGCUUCGGCGUGUGACUGCGUACCUUUUGUAUAAUGGGUCAGCGACUUAUAUUCUGUAGCAAGGUUAACCGAAUAGGGGAGCCGAAGGGAAACCGAGUCUUAACUGGGCGUUAAGUUGCAGGGUAUAGACCCGAAACCCGGUGAUCUAGCCAUGGGCAGGUUGAAGGUUGGGUAACACUAACUGGAGGACCGAACCGACUAAUGUUGAAAAAUUAGCGGAUGACUUGUGGCUGGGGGUGAAAGGCCAAUCAAACCGGGAGAUAGCUGGUUCUCCCCGAAAGCUAUUUAGGUAGCGCCUCGUGAAUUCAUCUCCGGGGGUAGAGCACUGUUUCGGCAAGGGGGUCAUCCCGACUUACCAACCCGAUGCAAACUGCGAAUACCGGAGAAUGUUAUCACGGGAGACACACGGCGGGUGCUAACGUCCGUCGUGAAGAGGGAAACAACCCAGACCGCCAGCUAAGGUCCCAAAGUCAUGGUUAAGUGGGAAACGAUGUGGGAAGGCCCAGACAGCCAGGAUGUUGGCUUAGAAGCAGCCAUCAUUUAAAGAAAGCGUAAUAGCUCACUGGUCGAGUCGGCCUGCGCGGAAGAUGUAACGGGGCUAAACCAUGCACCGAAGCUGCGGCAGCGACACUAUGUGUUGUUGGGUAGGGGAGCGUUCUGUAAGCCUGCGAAGGUGGCCUGUGAGGGGUGCUGGAGGUAUCAGAAGUGCGAAUGCUGACAUAAGUAACGAUAAAGCGGGUGAAAAGCCCGCUCGCCGGAAGACCAAGGGUUCCUGUCCAACGUUAAUCGGGGCAGGGUGAGUCGACCCCUAAGGCGAGGCCGAAAGGCGUAGUCGAUGGGAAACAGGUUAAUAUUCCUGUACUUGGUGUUACUGCGAAGGGGGGACGGAGAAGGCUAUGUUGGCCGGGCGACGGUUGUCCCGGUUUAAGCGUGUAGGCUGGUUUUCCAGGCAAAUCCGGAAAAUCAAGGCUGAGGCGUGAUGACGAGGCACUACGGUGCUGAAGCAACAAAUGCCCUGCUUCCAGGAAAAGCCUCUAAGCAUCAGGUAACAUCAAAUCGUACCCCAAACCGACACAGGUGGUCAGGUAGAGAAUACCAAGGCGCUUGAGAGAACUCGGGUGAAGGAACUAGGCAAAAUGGUGCCGUAACUUCGGGAGAAGGCACGCUGAUAUGUAGGUGAAGCGACUUGCUCGUGGAGCUGAAAUCAGUCGAAGAUACCAGCUGGCUGCAACUGUUUAUUAAAAACACAGCACUGUGCAAACACGAAAGUGGACGUAUACGGUGUGACGCCUGCCCGGUGCCGGAAGGUUAAUUGAUGGGGUUAGCGGUAACGCGAAGCUCUUGAUCGAAGCCCCGGUAAACGGCGGCCGUAACUAUAACGGUCCUAAGGUAGCGAAAUUCCUUGUCGGGUAAGUUCCGACCUGCACGAAUGGCGUAAUGAUGGCCAGGCUGUCUCCACCCGAGACUCAGUGAAAUUGAACUCGCUGUGAAGAUGCAGUGUACCCGCGGCAAGACGGAAAGACCCCGUGAACCUUUACUAUAGCUUGACACUGAACAUUGAGCCUUGAUGUGUAGGAUAGGUGGGAGGCUUUGAAGUGUGGACGCCAGUCUGCAUGGAGCCGACCUUGAAAUACCACCCUUUAAUGUUUGAUGUUCUAACGUUGACCCGUUAUCCGGGUUGCGGACAGUGUCUGGUGGGUAGUUUGACUGGGGCGGUCUCCUCCUAAAGAGUAACGGAGGAGCACGAAGGUUGGCUAAUCCUGGUCGGACAUCAGGAGGUUAGUGCAAUGGCAUAAGCCAGCUUGACUGCGAGCGUGACGGCGCGAGCAGGUGCGAAAGCAGGUCAUAGUGAUCCGGUGGUUCUGAAUGGAAGGGCCAUCGCUCAA
RNAcentral lists this ribosomal RNA (2050 nucleotides) under Escherichia coli. Its description in RNAcentral is "partial 23S ribosomal RNA". It matches the Rfam family "Bacterial large subunit ribosomal RNA", at positions 418 to 2452 of the family's 2925-position model. The record is from RNAcentral. Lineage: Bacteria; Pseudomonadati; Pseudomonadota; Gammaproteobacteria; Enterobacterales; Enterobacteriaceae.